GGGUCAGUAGGUUGGUCGUGCCACCGGUACGUACUGGUCUCACUGAUUCCUCCUUCCUAAAGAACCGUAAUGCUAUUAAUUUGGUGUUGCGGGGAAACAGGACUGUUACUUUGAAAAAAUUAGAGUGUUUAAAGCAAGCUAACGCUUGAAUACAUUAGCAUGGAAUAAUGAAAUAGGACGAUCGAUCCUAUUUUGUUGGUUUCUAGGAUUGACGUA
RNAcentral lists this ribosomal RNA (216 nucleotides) under Glomeromycotina sp. RNAcentral's name for it is "partial small subunit ribosomal RNA". The stretch from base 40 to 216 matches the Rfam family "Eukaryotic small subunit ribosomal RNA", at positions 686 to 864 of the family's 1831-position model. The record is from RNAcentral. Lineage: Eukaryota; Fungi; Glomeromycota.